Molecule: ribosomal RNA, 523 nt
Filed under: uncultured bacterium
Lineage: Bacteria
Description: bacterial SSU rRNA
Rfam family: Bacterial small subunit ribosomal RNA
Source: RNAcentral
UGGGGAAUCUUGCACAAUGGGGGCAACCCUGAUGCAGCGACGCCGCGUGAGCGAUGAAGCCCUUCGGGGUGUAAAGCUCUUUCGUCAGGGAAGAUAGUGACGGUACCUGGAGAAGCAGCUGCGGCUAACUACGUGCCAGCAGCCGCGGUAAUACGUAGGCAGCGAGCGUUGUUCGGAGUUACUGGGCGUAAAGGGCGCGUAGGCGGUGCCAUAAGUCACUUGUGAAAUCUCCUGGCUCAACUGGGAGCUUGCAGGCGAAACUGUGGUGCUGGAGUGUGGGAGAGGGGAGUGGAGUUCCCGGUGUAGCGGUGAAAUGCGUAGAGAUCGGGAGGAACACCAGCGACGAAGGUGGCUCCCUGGACCAUUACCGACGCUGAGGCGCGAAAGCUAGGGGAGCAAACAGGAUUAGAUACCCUGGUAGUCCACGCCCUAAACGAUGCAUACUUGGUGUGAGCGAUUCAUUUCGUUCGUGCCGGAGCUAACGCGUUAAGUAUGCCGCCUGGGGAGUACGGUCGCAAGGCUG